UAGAGCUGAAAUUCAAUGUGC
Molecule: non-coding RNA, 21 nt
Filed under: Caenorhabditis elegans
Lineage: Eukaryota; Metazoa; Nematoda; Chromadorea; Rhabditida; Rhabditidae
Source: RNAcentral